This 253-nucleotide ribosomal RNA is filed under the name uncultured bacterium. RNAcentral's name for it is "partial 16S ribosomal RNA". It matches the Rfam family "Bacterial small subunit ribosomal RNA", at positions 524 to 776 of the family's 1533-position model. The record is from RNAcentral.
UACGGAGGGCGCAAGCGUUGUUCGGAAUCACUGGGCGUAAAGCGCGUGUAGGCGGCUUGGCAAGUCGGGUGUGAAAGCCCGGGGCCUAACCCCGGAACUGCAUUCGAAACUGCCUCGCUCGAGUCCCGGAGAGGAUGGUGGAAUUCCCGGUGUAGUGGUGAAAUACGUAGAUAUCGGGAGGAACACCAGCGGCGAAGGCGGCCAUCUGGACGGUGACUGACGCUGAGAAGCGAAAGCGUGGGGAGCAAACAGG